Molecule: ribosomal RNA, 253 nt
Filed under: uncultured bacterium
Lineage: Bacteria
Description: partial 16S ribosomal RNA
Rfam family: Bacterial small subunit ribosomal RNA
Source: RNAcentral
UACGUAGGGUGCGAGCGUUAAUCGGAAUUACUGGGCGUAAAGAGUGUGUAGGCGGUGCUCUGAGUCUGUUGUGAAAUCUCCCGGCUUAACCGGGAGGGUGCGGCGGAAACUGGAGUGCUUGAGGGUGGGAGAGGUAAGCGGAAUUCCUGGUGUAGCGGUGAAAUGCGUAGAUAUCAGGAGGAACACCUGUGGUGUAGACAGCUUACUGGACCACUUCUGACGCUGAGACACGAAAGCGUGGGUAGCAAACAGG